Molecule: unclassified non-coding RNA, 379 nt
Filed under: Hevea brasiliensis (rubber tree)
Lineage: Eukaryota; Viridiplantae; Streptophyta; Magnoliopsida; Malpighiales; Euphorbiaceae
Source: RNAcentral
GGGAAAGAAGGCCAAGACCGUCGAGGAGGAGGAGCACAUCGAUGGAGAGCUCGUGCUCUCGAUAGAGAAGCUGCAGGAAAUUCAGGACGAGCUCGAGAAGGUUAAUGAGGAAGCCAGUGACAAAGUUUUGGAGGUUGAACAAAAGUAUAAUGAGAUACGGAGACCUGUCUACAGGAAGCGGAAUGAGAUCAUCCAAUCUAUUCCAGACUUUUGGCUAACCGCAUUUCUGAGUCAUCCUGCACUUGCUGAUCUAUUGACCGAGGAAGACCAAAAGAUUUUUAAGUACUUGGUUUCAUUAGAUGUUGAAGAUUUUAAAGAUGUGAAGUCCGGCUACUCCAUUACUUUUAGCUUCUCUCCUAACCCAUAUUUCGAGGAUGCG